GAUGAACGCUGGCGGCGUGCCUAAUACAUACAAGUCGAACGGAGACUGUUUAGCAAUAAGCAGUCUUAGUGGCGAACGGGUGAGUAACGCGUUGGUGACCUGCCCCAAAGUGUGGGAUACCAGUCCGAAAGGACUGCUAAUACCGCAUGUGGUCUCCGGGAUUAGAUGCCUGAUGACUAAAGGAGUAAUUCGCUUUGGGAGGGGCCUGCGUCCCAUCAGCUAGUUGGUAAGGUAACGGCCUACCAAGGCUUUGACGGGUAGGGGACCUGAGAGGGUGACCCCCCACAAUGGAACUGAAACACGGUCCAUACACCUACGGGUGGCAGCAGUAGGGAAUAUUGCAUGAUGGGCGAAAGCCUGAUGCAGCAACGCCGCGUGCGCGAUGAAGGCCUUCGGGUCGUAAAGCGCUUUUCAGAGGGAUGAGGAAGGACAGUACCUCUGGAAUAAGUCUCGGCUAAUUACGUGCCAGCAGCCGCGGUAAAACGUAGGAGGCGAGCGUUAUCCGGAUUUACUGGGCGUAAAGCGUGUGUAGGCGGUUUGGAAAGUUGGAUGUGAAAGCUCCUGGCUCAACUGGGAGAGGUCGUUCAAAACUUCCAGACUAGAGUAUGGUAGAGGGAGGUGGAAUUCCGGGUGUAGUGGUGAAAUGCGUAGAUAUCCGGAGGAACACCAGUGGCGAAAGCGGCCUCCUGGACCAUUUCUGACGCUCAGACACGAAAGCUAGGGUAGCAAACGGGAUUAGAGACCCCGGUAGUCCUAGCUGUAAACGAUGUAGACUUGGCGUCGGUGGGUUUAAAUCCAUCGGUGCCGUAGCCAACGCGAUAAGUCUACCGCCUGGGGACUACGGCCGCAAGGUUA
Molecule: ribosomal RNA, 855 nt
Filed under: uncultured bacterium
Lineage: Bacteria
Description: bacterial SSU rRNA
Rfam family: Bacterial small subunit ribosomal RNA
Source: RNAcentral